RNAcentral lists this ribosomal RNA (608 nucleotides) under uncultured bacterium. Its description in RNAcentral is "bacterial SSU rRNA". The stretch from base 1 to 539 matches the Rfam family "Bacterial small subunit ribosomal RNA", at positions 338 to 873 of the family's 1533-position model. The record is from RNAcentral.
CCUACGGGAGGCAGCAGUGGGGAAUCUUGCGCAAUGGGCGGAAGCCUGACGCAGCAACGCCGCGUGUGGGAAGACGGCUUUCGGGUUGUAAACCACUUUCAGGGGGGACGAAGCUUCCGAGGUUAAUAGCCUACGGGGUGACGGUACCCCCAGAAGAAGCCCCGGCUAACUACGUGCCAGCAGCCGCGGUAAUACGUAGGGGGCGAGCGUUGUCCGGAAUCAUUGGGCGUAAAGCGCGUGUAGGCGGCUUGAUAAGUCUGGUGUGAAGUCUUGGGGCUUAACCCCAAGCCUGCACUGGAUACUGUCAAGCUUGAGUCCGGGAGGGGAGAGCGGAAUUCCUAGUGUAGCGGUGAAAUGCGCAGAUAUUAGGAAGAACACCGGUGGCGAAGGCGGCUCUCUGGAACGGUACUGACGCUGAGACGCGAAAGCGUGGGGAGCGAACAGGAUUAGAUACCCUGGUAGUCCACGCCGUAAACGAUGGGCACUAGAUGUGGGCGGUGUCGACUCCGUCCGUGUCGAAGCUAACGCAUAGUGCCGCCGUGGAGUACGCGCGAGACGAACGACGAAGAAGUGAGCGNGAGAGUUGCGAGGCGACGACGAGGGAGAGG